GAUGAACGCUAGCGACAGGCCUAACACAUGCAAGUCGAGGGGCAUCGGGGCGUAGCAAUACGCUGCCGGCGACCGGCGGAUGGGUGAGUAACGCGUAUGCAACCUACCUUCAGCAGGGGGAUAGCCCGUUGAAAGACGGAUUAAUACCCCAUAACACAGGGGCUCCGCAUGGAGAUUAUUGUUAAAGGGAUGCUUCCUUCGGGGAGUAUUCCGGCUGCAGAUGGGCAUGCGUUCCAUUAGGUAGUUGGUUGAGGUAACGGCUCACCAAGCCUACGAUGGAUAGGGGAACUGAGAGGUUGGUCCCCCAACUGGUACUGAGACACGGACCAGACUCCUACGGGAGGCAGCAGUGAGGAAUCUUGGUCAAUGGACGGAAGUCUGAACCAGCCAUGUCGCGUGAAGGAGGACGGCCCUAAGGGUUGUAAACUUCUUUUGCAGGGGGAAUAAAGGUAUUCCACGAGAUGGGAUAUUGCAAGUACGCUGCGAAUAAGGAUCGGCUAACUCCG
This 506-nucleotide ribosomal RNA is filed under the name uncultured bacterium. Its description in RNAcentral is "bacterial SSU rRNA". It matches the Rfam family "Bacterial small subunit ribosomal RNA", at positions 28 to 505 of the family's 1533-position model. The record is from RNAcentral.